This 3008-nucleotide ribosomal RNA is filed under the name Salmonella enterica subsp. enterica serovar Bovismorbificans. Its description in RNAcentral is "23S ribosomal RNA". It matches the Rfam family "Bacterial large subunit ribosomal RNA". The record is from RNAcentral. Lineage: Bacteria; Pseudomonadati; Pseudomonadota; Gammaproteobacteria; Enterobacterales; Enterobacteriaceae.
GGGUUGUGAGGUUAAGCGACUAAGCGUACACGGUGGAUGCCCUGGCAGUCAGAGGCGAUGAAGGGCGUGCUAAUCUGCGAUAAGCGCCGGUAAGGUGAUAUGAACCGUUAUAACCGGCGAUACCCGAAUGGGGAAACCCAGUGUGACUCGUCACACUAUCAUUAACUGAAUCCAUAGGUUAAUGAGGCGAACCGGGGGAACUGAAACAUCUAAGUACCCCGAGGAAAAGAAAUCAACCGAGAUUCCCCCAGUAGCGGCGAGCGAACGGGGAGGAGCCCAGAGCCUGAAUCAGCAUGUGUGUUAGUGGAAGCGUCUGGAAAGGCGCGCGAUACAGGGUGACAGCCCCGUACACAAAAGCGCAUGUGCUGUGAGCUCGAUGAGUAGGGCGGGACACGUGGUAUCCUGUCUGAAUAUGGGGGGACCAUCCUCCAAGGCUAAAUACUCCUGACUGACCGAUAGUGAACCAGUACCGUGAGGGAAAGGCGAAAAGAACCCCGGCGAGGGGAGUGAAAAAGAACCUGAAACCGUGUACGUACAAGCAGUGGGAGCACAGGUUUACCUGUGUGACUGCGUACCUUUUGUAUAAUGGGUCAGCGACUUAUAUUCUGUAGCAAGGUUAACCGAAUAGGGGAGCCGGAGGGAAACCGAGUCUUAAUUGGGCGUUAAGUUGCAGGGUAUAGACCCGAAACCCGGUGAUCUAGCCAUGGGCAGGUUGAAGGUUGGGUAACACUAACUGGAGGACCGAACCGACUAAUGUUGAAAAAUUAGCGGAUGACCUGUGGCUGGGGGUGAAAGGCCAAUCAAACCGGGAGAUAGCUGGUUCUCCCCGAAAGCUAUUUAGGUAGCGCCUCGUGAAUUCAUCUCCGGGGGUAGAGCACUGUUUCGGCUAGGGGGCCAUCCCGGCUUACCAACCCGAUGCAAACUGCGAAUACCGGAGAAUGUUAUCACGGGAGACACACGGCGGGUGCUAACGUCCGUCGUGAAGAGGGAAACAACCCAGACCGCCAGCUAAGGUCCCAAAGUCAUGGUUAAGUGGGAAACGAUGUGGGAAGGCCCAGACAGCCAGGAUGUUGGCUUAGAAGCAGCCAUCAUUUAAAGAAAGCGUAAUAGCUCACUGGUCGAGUCGGCCUGCGCGGAAGAUGUAACGGGGCUAAACCAUGCACCGAAGCUGCGGCAGCGAACGUAUCACUUAAAGCGAUUCAGCGGGUUACGAUUGACGGAGCGAAGCGACGUCAAAGCGUAUACAAAGUCGAGUCGGUUUAAGGAUACGUUCGUUGGGUAGGGGAGCGUUCUGUAAGCCUGUGAAGGUGGCCUGUGAGGGUUGCUGGAGGUAUCAGAAGUGCGAAUGCUGACAUAAGUAACGAUAAAGCGGGUGAAAAGCCCGCUCGCCGGAAGACCAAGGGUUCCUGUCCAACGUUAAUCGGGGCAGGGUGAGUCGACCCCUAAGGCGAGGCCGAAAGGCGUAGUCGAUGGGAAACGGGUUAAUAUUCCCGUACUUGGUGUUACUGCGAAGGGGGGACGGAGAAGGCUAUGUUGGCCGGGCGACGGUUGUCCCGGUUUAAGCGUGUAGGCUGGUUUUCCAGGCAAAUCCGGAAAAUCAAGGCUGAGGCGUGAUGACGAGGCACUACGGUGCUGAAGCAACAAAUGCCCUGCUUCCAGGAAAAGCCUCUAAGCAUCAGGUAACAUCAAAUCGUACCCCAAACCGACACAGGUGGUCAGGUAGAGAAUACCAAGGCGCUUGAGAGAACUCGGGUGAAGGAACUAGGCAAAAUGGUGCCGUAACUUCGGGAGAAGGCACGCUGACACGUAGGUGAAGUGAUUUACUCAUGGAGCUGAAGUCAGUCGAAGAUACCAGCUGGCUGCAACUGUUUAUUAAAAACACAGCACUGUGCAAACACGAAAGUGGACGUAUACGGUGUGACGCCUGCCCGGUGCCGGAAGGUUAAUUGAUGGGGUCAGCGCAAGCGAAGCUCCUGAUCGAAGCCCCGGUAAACGGCGGCCGUAACUAUAACGGUCCUAAGGUAGCGAAAUUCCUUGUCGGGUAAGUUCCGACCUGCACGAAUGGCGUAAUGAUGGCCAGGCUGUCUCCACCCGAGACUCAGUGAAAUUGAACUCGCUGUGAAGAUGCAGUGUACCCGCGGCAAGACGGAAAGACCCCGUGAACCUUUACUAUAGCUUGACACUGAACAUUGAGCCUUGAUGUGUAGGAUAGGUGGGAGGCUUUGAAGUGUGGACGCCAGUCUGCAUGGAGCCGGCCUUGAAAUACCACCCUUUAAUGUUUGAUGUUCUAACGUGGACCCGUAAUCCGGGUUGCGGACAGUGUCUGGUGGGUAGUUUGACUGGGGCGGUCUCCUCCUAAAGAGUAACGGAGGAGCACGAAGGUUGGCUAAUCCUGGUCGGACAUCAGGAGGUUAGUGCAAUGGCAUAAGCCAGCUUGACUGCGAGCGUGACGGCGCGAGCAGGUGCGAAAGCAGGUCAUAGUGAUCCGGUGGUUCUGAAUGGAAGGGCCAUCGCUCAACGGAUAAAAGGUACUCCGGGGAUAACAGGCUGAUACCGCCCAAGAGUUCAUAUCGACGGCGGUGUUUGGCACCUCGAUGUCGGCUCAUCACAUCCUGGGGCUGAAGUAGGUCCCAAGGGUAUGGCUGUUCGCCAUUUAAAGUGGUACGCGAGCUGGGUUUAGAACGUCGUGAGACAGUUCGGUCCCUAUCUGCCGUGGGCGCUGGAGAACUGAGGGGGGCUGCUCCUAGUACGAGAGGACCGGAGUGGACGCAUCACUGGUGUUCGGGUUGUCAUGCCAAUGGCACUGCCCGGUAGCUAAAUGCGGAAGAGAUAAGUGCUGAAAGCAUCUAAGCACGAAACUUGCCCCGAGAUGAGUUCUCCCUGAGACUUAGAGUCUCCUGAAGGAACGUUGAAGACGACGACGUUGAUAGGCCGGGUGUGUAAGCGCAGCGAUGCGUUGAGCUAACCGGUACUAAUGAACCGUGAGGCUUAACCUUACAACGCCGAAG